AGACCAUAAUCUGAGAUGCGCAGGACAGAAGCCUGCCAACCGCACCCCUGUAAUAAUAAAAAAAUAAAAAAUGAUAUAGAGAUCUGAAGUCUUAAUGCAGGCAGUUCAUCAUAAUGUGAUACGAUUCUGAAGUCAUUCAUGUGUUUGAAAUAUUUUAGUCGGUCAGAUUUUUUCCAAAGAACACUAUUAUCACUACAUUCGUAAACUGCAGUGAAAGCGCCGGGAGAUUUUUGAGCCUUCUAAGAGGACCAAAUCUGAAGUGUGGUCGUAUUUUUGGUUUUACAAGAGUGCCGAGGGAAACUUAAUCGAAGAUGGUCACCCUGUCUCCAGAACAUGCAAAAACAAUCGCUGCGAAAGGGGGCAACACUUCAAAUCUCUUGAGUCAUAUUCGUGAUCACCACCCACUACGUUAUAGCCUACACAAGAGUGGGCGAGCAGCAGGCAAACCCUGUGAUGCUACUGGUCCCUCCUCAUCUACAGUUGUGACACAAACACUCGAGCAAACAUUUAUAAGGCAGGCUGCUUAUGCACCCACAUCAAAAAUGCUCAAGACCUCAUUGCAAAGGACAUGAUGCAAUUUCAAUUUGUUGAGAGGCCUGGCUUUCUGAGGCUGAUGAAGGUUGACGUGCCUCAAUACAAAGUCAGUGCUGCUAAUUUAAUUUGUGGUUUGUUUAUUUGAUUUGCUUACUUAAGGUUGUGUUCAUUUAAAUCUGCACUAGGGAAACUUUUACCUCUCAUGGCCACAUGGUGGCAUCUUUAAUGGUGACGUUAUUAUUUUAAUGUUUAUGCACACACACAUUUCAUAGUGCUGCUAAUGUUCUUUGUUGUUUAUUGGUUUUCAAUAUAAAACUUGGUG
Long non-coding RNA from Oncorhynchus mykiss (rainbow trout), 856 nucleotides. RefSeq lists it as uncharacterized. NCBI's taxonomy places the organism in Eukaryota, Metazoa, Chordata, Actinopteri, Salmoniformes, Salmonidae. The record is from RefSeq and is a predicted model, not a curated record.